This 585-nucleotide ribosomal RNA is filed under the name Shigella sonnei. Its description in RNAcentral is "bacterial SSU rRNA". It matches the Rfam family "Bacterial small subunit ribosomal RNA", at positions 941 to 1526 of the family's 1533-position model. The record is from RNAcentral. Lineage: Bacteria; Pseudomonadati; Pseudomonadota; Gammaproteobacteria; Enterobacterales; Enterobacteriaceae.
GUGGUUUAAUUCGAUGCAACGCGAAGAACCUUACCUGGUCUUGACAUCCACAGAACUUUCCAGAGAUGGAUUGGUGCCUUCGGGAACUGUGAGACAGGUGCUGCAUGGCUGUCGUCAGCUCGUGUUGUGAAAUGUUGGGUUAAGUCCCGCAACGAGCGCAACCCUUAUCCUUUGUUGCCAGCGGUCCGGCCGGGAACUCAAAGGAGACUGCCAGUGAUAAACUGGAGGAAGGUGGGGAUGACGUCAAGUCAUCAUGGCCCUUACGACCAGGGCUACACACGUGCUACAAUGGCGCAUACAAAGAGAAGCGACCUCGCGAGAGCAAGCGGACCUCAUAAAGUGCGUCGUAGUCCGGAUUGGAGUCUGCAACUCGACUCCAUGAAGUCGGAAUCGCUAGUAAUCGUGGAUCAGAAUGCCACGGUGAAUACGUUCCCGGGCCUUGUACACACCGCCCGUCACACCAUGGGAGUGGGUUGCAAAAGAAGUAGGUAGCUUAACCUUCGGGAGGGCGCUUACCACUUUGUGAUUCAUGACUGGGGUGAAGUCGUAACAAGGUAACCGUAGGGGAACCUGCGGUUGGAUCAC